Aphis gossypii (cotton aphid) is the source of this 432-nucleotide long non-coding RNA. RefSeq lists it as uncharacterized. The record is from RefSeq and is a predicted model, not a curated record. Lineage: Eukaryota; Metazoa; Arthropoda; Insecta; Hemiptera; Aphididae. The transcript is spliced from 3 exons.
UACGAACGCUACAAACACGAAAAUGUUGGAUCUUAUUUUUGAACUUAUUUUCAAGUACAUACUUCCAUUAUCACAUCAACAAAUGACUCAAUAUGUAGACGAGCUAAAUUAUAUAAGGAGUAUACCUACCUAUAUUAUUAUGUGUUAUUUAUGGUAUACAGAAUGAUUUCAACGUCAAUGAUGAUAUUAUAAUAAUAAUACACACAAUUUAAAUUUAACGUAUAACACAAUUUUACCUCUGAUAUUUGAAUGACGAUUAGUAUUUGACUUAGCGAGGAAUUGUUCAAUCACGCAAAACUAUAAUACAGAAUACUCUAGAUUCAUUAAAAGAGUUUUUUUUAUGUCUUAUUAAACAAGGGAUUCACUAGUUAUCGAAAUAUAUCUAUUUAAAUAUAUGAUUUGUACUUGGACAACCGAGAUUGCCGAGACAUC